CCUACGGGAGGCUGCAGUAGGGAAUAUUGCUCAAUGGGGGAAACCCUGAAGCAGCAACGCCGCGUGGAGGAUGAAGGUUUUAGGAUUGUAAACUCCUUUUGUGAGAGAAGAUAAUGACGGUAUCUCACGAAUAAGCACCGGCUAACUCCGUGCCAGCAGCCGCGGUAAUACGGCGGGUGCAAGCGUUACUCGGAAUCACUGGGCGUAAAGAGUGCGCAGGCGGGCUUGUAAGUCAGAUGUGAAAUCCUGUAGCUUAACUACAGAACUGCAUUUGAAACUAUGAGUCUAGAGUGUGGGAGAGGUAGGUGGAAUUCUUGGUGUAGUGGUAAAAUGCGUAGAUAUCAAGAAGAAUACUCAUUGCGAAGGCGACCUACUGGAACAUUACUGACGCUCAUGCACGAAAGCGUGGGUAGCGAACAGGAUUAGAUACCCCAGUAGUC
Molecule: ribosomal RNA, 440 nt
Filed under: uncultured bacterium
Lineage: Bacteria
Description: partial 16S ribosomal RNA
Rfam family: Bacterial small subunit ribosomal RNA
Source: RNAcentral